UGGGGAAUUUUGGACAAUGGGCGAAAGCCUGAUCCAGCAAUGCCGCGUGUGUGAAGAAGGCCUUCGGGUUGUAAAGCACUUUUGUCCGGAAAGAAAUCCUUGGCUCUAAUACAGUCGGGGGAUGACGGUACCGGAAGAAUAAGCACCGGCUAACUACGUGCCAGCAGCCGCGGUAAUACGUAGGGUGCAAGCGUUAAUCGGAAUUACUGGGCGUAAAGCGUGCGCAGGCGGUUUGCUAAGACCGAUGUGAAAUCCCCGGGCUCAACCUGGGAACUGCAUUGGUGACUGGCAGGCUAGAGUAUGGCAGAGGGGGGUAGAAUUCCACGUGUAGCAGUGAAAUGCGUAGAGAUGUGGAGGAAUACCGAUGGCGAAGGCAGUCCCCUGGGCCAAUACUGACGCUCAUGCACGAAAGCGUGGGGAGCAAACAGGAUUAGAUACCCUGGUAGUCCACGCCCUAAACGAUGUCAACUAGUUGUUGGGGAUUCAUUUCCUUAGUAACGUAGCUAACGCGUGAAGUUGACCGCCUGGGGAGUACGGUCGCAAGAUUAAAACUUAAAGGAAUUGACGGGGUCAUA
This 575-nucleotide ribosomal RNA is filed under the name uncultured bacterium. Its description in RNAcentral is "partial 16S ribosomal RNA". It matches the Rfam family "Bacterial small subunit ribosomal RNA", at positions 355 to 923 of the family's 1533-position model. The record is from RNAcentral.